Molecule: ribosomal RNA, 253 nt
Filed under: uncultured bacterium
Lineage: Bacteria
Description: partial 16S ribosomal RNA
Rfam family: Bacterial small subunit ribosomal RNA
Source: RNAcentral
UACAGAGGUCCCAAGCGUUGUUCGGAUUUAUUGGGCGUAAAGGGUGCGUAGGCGGCGGAGUAAGUUGGGUGUGAAAUCCCGGGGCUCAACCUCGGAAUUGCAUUCAAUACUGCUUCGCUCGAGUACUGGAGAGGAGACUGGAAUUUACGGUGUAGCAGUGAAAUUCGUAGAUAUCGAGAGGAACACCGGUGGCGAAGGCGGCGAUCUGGACGAUGACUGACGCUGAGACGCGAAAGCGUGGGGAGCAAACAGG